RNAcentral lists this ribosomal RNA (497 nucleotides) under uncultured bacterium. RNAcentral describes it as "partial 16S ribosomal RNA". It matches the Rfam family "Bacterial small subunit ribosomal RNA", at positions 28 to 507 of the family's 1533-position model. The record is from RNAcentral.
GAUGAACGCUGGCGGCGUGCCUAAUACAUGCAAGUCGAGCGAACAGACGAGGAGCUUGCUCCUUCGACGUUAGCGGCGGACGGGUGAGUAACACGUAGGUAACCUACCUAUAAGAAUGGGAUAACUUCGGGAAACCGGAGCUAAUACCGGAUAAGAUUUCGAACCGCAUGGUUCGAUAGUGAAAGAUGGCUUUGCUAUCACUUAUAGAUGGACCUGCGCCGUAUUAGCUAGUUGGUAAGGUAACGGCUUACCAAGGCAACGAUACGUAGCCGACCUGAGAGGGUGAUCGGCCACACUGGAACUGAGACACGGUCCAGACUCCUACGGGAGGCAGCAGUGGGGAAUCUUCCGCAAUGGGCGCAAGCCUGACGGAGCAACGCCGCGUGCGUGAUGAAGGUCUUCGGGUCGUAAAACUCUGUUAUUAGGGAAGAACAAACGUGUAAGUAACUGUGCACGUCUUGACGGUACCUAAUCAGAAAGCCCCGGCUAACUACGUG